This 427-nucleotide ribosomal RNA is filed under the name uncultured bacterium. RNAcentral describes it as "bacterial SSU rRNA". It matches the Rfam family "Bacterial small subunit ribosomal RNA", at positions 355 to 774 of the family's 1533-position model. The record is from RNAcentral.
UGGGGAAUAUUGGACAAUGGGGGAAACCCUGAUCCAGCGACGCCGCGUGUGUGAAGAAGGCCUGCGGGUUGUAAAGCACUUUUAGUGGGGACGAAAAGCCAGGGGCUAACACCAUCUGGUCUUGAUUUAACCCACAGAAAAAGCACCGGCUAACUCUGUGCCAGCAGCCGCGGUAAUACAGAGGGUGCAAGCGUUAAUCGGAAUUACUGGGCGUAAAGCGCGCGUAGACGGUUUUGUAAGUCAGAUGUGAAAUCCCCGGGCUCAACCUGGGAACUGCAUUUGAUACUGCGUGGCUAGAGUACGGUAGAGGGAAGUGGAAUUUCCGGUGUAGCGGUGAAAUGCGUAGAUAUCGGAAGGAACACCAGUGGCGAAAGCGACUUCCUGGACCAGUACUGACGUUCAUGUGCGAAAGCGUGGGGAGCAAACA